AAAACUUUCAACAACGGAUCUCUUGGUUCUGGCAUCGAUGAAGAACGCAGCGAAAUGCGAUAAGUAAUGUGAAUUGCAGAAUUCAGUGAAUCAUCGAAUCUUUGAACGCACAUUGCGCCCGCCAGCACUCUGGCGGGCAUGCCUGUUCGAGCGUCAUUACACCCCUCGGGCGCCCCCGGGCGCCCGGUGCUGGGGACCGGCCGUGCCCGCCACGGCCGCCCCCCAAAUGGAUCGGCGGCAGCGCCUCGCGCGACCCCCUGCGUAGUAGAAGCAACCACGUUGACAACACGACCGCACCGGGAGCCAGGCGCGGCCACGGCCGCAAAACGCCCAACUCUUCUGAAGUUGACCUCGAAUCAGGUAGGGAUACCCGCUGAACUUAAGCAUAUCAAUAAGCGGAGGAAAAGAAACCAACAGGGAUUGCCCCAGUAACGGCGAGUGAAGCGGCAACAGCUCAAAUUUGAAAUCUGGCCCCCCCCGGGGGGCCCGAGUUGUAAUUUGCAGAGGAUGCUUUGGGCGAGGCGCCUUCCGAGUUCCCUGGAACGGGACGCCACAGAGGGUGAGAGCCCCGUCUGGUCGGACGCCGAGCCUCUGUAAAGCUCCUUCGACGAGUCGAGUAGUUUGGGAAUGCUGCUCAAAAUGGGAGGUAUAUGUCUUCUAAAGCUAAAUACCGGCCAGAGACCGAUAGCGCACAAGUAGAGUGAUCGAAAGAUGAAAAGCACCUUGAAAAGGGGGUUAAACAGUACGUGAAAUUGUUGAAAGGGAAGCGCUCGUGACCAGACUUGGGGCGGGCGGAUCAGCCGGCGUUCUCGCCGGCGCACUCCGCCCGUCCCAGGCCAGCAUCAGUUCGCGCCGGGGGACAAAGGCGGCGGGAACGUGGCUCCCCAGGGAGUGUUAUAGCCCGCCGCGCCAUGCCCCGGGGGCGGACUGAGGGCCGCGCAUCACUGCAAGGAUGCUGGCGUAAUGGUCACCAGCGACCCGUCUUGAAACACGGGCCAAGGAGUCGUCCUCGUAUGCGAGUGUUCGGGUGUCAAACCCCUACGCGGAAUGAAAGUGAACGUGGGUGAGAGCUUCGGCGCAUCAUCGACCGAUCCUGAUGUUCUCGGAUGGAUUUGAGUAGGAGCAUACGGGGCCGGACCCGAAAGAAGGUGAACUAUGCCUGUGUAGGGUGAAGCCAGAGGAAACUCUGGUGGAGGCUCGCAGCGGUUCUGACGUGCAAAUCGAUCGUCAAACAUGGGCAUGGGGGCGAAAGACUAAUCGAACCUUCUAGUAGCUGGUUUCCGCCGAAGUUUCCCUCAGGAUAGCAGUGUCGAUCUCAGUUUUAUGAGGUAAAGCGAAUGAUUAGGGACCCGGGGGCGCAUACAUGCCUUCAUCCAUUCUCAAACUUUAAAUAUGUAAGAAGCCCUUGUUGCUUAGCUGAACGUGGGCAUUCGAAUGUAGCGACACUAGUGGGCCAUUUUUGGUAAGCAGAACUGGCGAUGCGGGAUGAACCGAACGCGAGGUUAAGGUGCCAGAGUAGACGCUCAUCAGACACCACAAAAGGUGUUAGUACAUCUUGACAGCAGGACGGUGGCCAUGGAAGUCGGAAUCCGCUAAGGACUGUGUAACAACUCACCUGCCGAAUGUACUAGCCCUGAAAAUGGAUGGCGCUCAAGCGUCUCACCCAUACCUCGCCCUCGGGGCAGGAUCGAGGCCCCGAGGAGUAGGCGGACGUGGGGGUCCGUGACGAAGCCUAGGGCGCGAGCCCGGGUCGAACGGCCCCCAGUGCAGAUCUUGGCGGCAGUAGCGAUUACUUCAAUGAGAACUUGAAGGACCGAAGUGGGGAAAGGUUCCAUGUGAACAGCGGUUGGACGUGGGUUAGUCGAUCCUAAGCCAUAGGGAAGUUCCGUUUCAAAGGCGCACUCGUGCGCCGCGUGGCGAAAGGGGAGCCGGUUAACAUUCCGGCACCUGGAUGUGGGUUUUGCGCGGCAACGCAACUGAACGGCGGAGACGACGGCGGGGGGCCCCGAGCAGAGUUCUCUUUUCUUCUUAACGGUCUCUCACCCUGAAAUCGGUUCGUCCGGAGCUAGGGUUCAACGGCCGGAAGAGCCCGGCACCUCUGCCGGGUUCGGUGCGCUCCCGACGUCCCUUGAAAAUCCGCGGGAGGGAAUAAUUCUCACGCCAGGUCGUACUCAUAACCGCAGCAGGUCUCCAAGGUGAACAGCCUCUGGUUGAUAGAACAAUGUAGAUAAGGGAAGUCGGCAAAAUAGAUCCGUAACUUCGGGAUAAGGAUUGGCUCUAAGGGUUGGGUGCGUUGGGCCUCGGGGGGACGCCGCGGGAGCAGGCAGCCACUAGCCGGGCAACCGGCCGGCGGCGGCCAGCAUCCGCGCGCCGACGCCCUUGGCAGGCCUCGGCCGUCCGGCGCACGUUUAACAACCAACUUAGAACUGGUGACGGACAAGGGGAAUCUGACUGUCUAAUUAAAACAUAGCAUUGCGAUGGCCAGAAAGUGGUGUUGACGCAAUGUGAUUUCUGCCCAGUGCUCUGAAUUGUGAAAGUGAAGUAAUUCAACCAAGCGCGGGUAAACGGCGGGAGUAACUAUGACUCAAACUGGCACGAAGCAUCUGGGGGCGACCCGGGCCGGGCACUGCCCUGUAGAGCCCAGAGCCCGGGGGACGCCCAGGUAUGGCACAUUCGAGAGGGUCAAGUAGCGUAAAAGGCGCUGCUAGUCGGGCGUGCCCUUCCGGGGGCACGCGCGGCGACAUCAUCAAAUUGUCGGGGACCUCCUAAAGCUGGCAGCUACCAAGCGGGCGCCGAAAGGCAGCCCGUGGCCGGGGUAAUGACCUUGGGUAGGGUAAAAACGCGCCAGAUGCCACAAUGGACAAUCCGCAGCCAAGUCCUACGUCCGCCGGGCCCCGGCCCUGCGGAUAGGGAUGCAGUUCAACGACUAGACGGUGGUGGGCUUCCCGCCGGGGGGCGCGACCUGCGCAGCCCGUCGGGGUGGCUUAAGAUAUAGUCUACUCCCAGGCCGAAAGGCCGGGUACUCGAGAGCUCUUAAGGUAGCCAAAUGCCUCGUCAUCUAAUUAGUGACGCGCAUGAAUGGAUUAACGAGAUUCCCACUGUCCCUAUCUACUAUCUAGCGAAACCACAGCCAAGGGAACGGGCUUGGCAGAAUCAGCGGGGAAAGAAGACCCUGGACGCGACUGCGGUUCGUCCUGAGCGACAAGCAUCAACGGGGUCAAUAGCGGUCGACGUGCCGCUAGUCCAGCAGCCGAUCAGUUGUGGGUGGCUGCGGGCGAGACAACCUGGUACGGGGGAGCCUCAGGGGCAGGGCGCGCCGGCGCGCCCUGCCCACGGUAAUCCCGUGGCGAGCCUCUCCUCCCUGGAGGGGGGGCCGUCGUAACGCGC
This 3387-nucleotide ribosomal RNA is filed under the name Moelleriella libera RCEF 2490. RNAcentral describes it as "eukaryotic LSU rRNA". The stretch from base 347 to 3209 matches the Rfam family "Eukaryotic large subunit ribosomal RNA". The record is from RNAcentral. Lineage: Eukaryota; Fungi; Ascomycota; Sordariomycetes; Hypocreales; Clavicipitaceae.